CUAAGAAUCUUCCGCAAUGGGCGCAAGCCUGACGGAGCGACGCCGCGUGGACGAAGAAUGCCGAGAGGUUGUAAAGUCCUUUUAUUUGCGAAGAAUAAUGCCUGUAGGUAAUGACAGGCAGAUGACGUUAGCUUAUGAAUAAGCUCCGGCCAAUUACGUGCCAGCAGCCGCGGUAACACGUAAGGAGCGAGCGUUGUUCGGAAUUAUUGGGCGUAAAGGGCAUGUAGGCGGUUACAUAAGUCUGAUGUGAAAUACUACAGCUUAACUGUGGGAACGCAUUGGAAACUGUGUGACUUGAAUCUGUGAGGGGUAACUGGAAUUCCUAGUGUAGGGGUGAAAUCUGUUGAUAUUAGGAAGAACACCGAUGGCGAAGGCAAGUUACUGGCACAUGAUUGACGCUGAGAUGCGAAAGCGUAGGGAGCGAACA
RNAcentral lists this ribosomal RNA (427 nucleotides) under uncultured bacterium. Its description in RNAcentral is "bacterial SSU rRNA". It matches the Rfam family "Bacterial small subunit ribosomal RNA", at positions 355 to 774 of the family's 1533-position model. The record is from RNAcentral.